AGAGGAGCUUGCUCCUUGGGUGGCGAGUGGCGGACGGGUGAGUAAUGCAUCGGGAUCUACCCUGACGUGGGGGAUAACCUCGGGAAACCGGGACUAAUACCGCAUACGUCCUACGGGAGAAAGCGGGGGACCUUUUAGGCCUCGCGCGGCAGGACGAACCGAUGUGCGAUUAGCUAGUUGGCGGGGUAAUGGCCCACCAAGGCGACGAUCGCUAGCUGGUCUGAGAGGAUGAUCAGCCACACUGGGACUGAGACACGGCCCAGACUCCUACGGGAGGCAGCAGUGGGGAAUAUUGGACAAUGGGCGCAAGCCUGAUCCAGCAAUGCCGCGUGUGUGAAGAAGGCCUUCGGGUUGUAAAGCACUUUUAUCAGGAGCGAAAUCUGCAUGCUUAAUACGUGUGCAGUCUGACGGUACCUGAGGAAUAAGCACCGGCUAACUUCGUGCCAGCAGCCGCGGUAAUACGAAGGGUGCAAGCGUUAAUCGGAAUUACUGGGCGUAAAGGGUGCGUAGGCGGUUCGUUAAGUCUGUCGUGAAAUCCCCGGGCUCAACCUGGGAAUGGCGAUGGAUACUGGCGAGCUAGAGUGUGUCAG
RNAcentral lists this ribosomal RNA (590 nucleotides) under Rhodanobacter lindaniclasticus. Its description in RNAcentral is "bacterial SSU rRNA". It matches the Rfam family "Bacterial small subunit ribosomal RNA", at positions 72 to 654 of the family's 1533-position model. Lineage: Bacteria; Pseudomonadati; Pseudomonadota; Gammaproteobacteria; Lysobacterales; Rhodanobacteraceae. The record is from RNAcentral.